RNAcentral lists this ribosomal RNA (1565 nucleotides) under Lasiurus atratus (Handley's red bat). RNAcentral's name for it is "16S ribosomal RNA". It matches the Rfam family "Bacterial large subunit ribosomal RNA". The record is from RNAcentral. Lineage: Eukaryota; Metazoa; Chordata; Mammalia; Chiroptera; Vespertilionidae.
GACUAAAAAUAGCUCAAAAUUCACACUCUACUAACCACCCUGAUCUCAUAAAAUAAAACAUUUAUAUUAGUAAAAGUAUAGGUGAUAGAAAUUAUAUCUGACGCUAUAGAGACAGUACCGCGAGGGAAAAUUGAAAGAUAUUUACAAGUAAUAAACAGCAAAGCUUAUCCCUUGUACCUUUUGCAUAAUGAUUCAACUAGAAAUAUAAUUGGUAAAAAGAAUUAAAGUCAAAUAACCCGAAACCAGACGAGCUAUUUAUUAACAGCCAUAAGGGCAAACUCAUCUAUGUGGCAAAAUAGUGAGAUGAUUAAUAAAUAGAGGCGAAAAACCUAUCGAGCCUGGUGAUAGCUGGUUGUCCAAAUUAGAAUUUCAGUUCAAUCUUAAUUCUACUAAGCAAAAAUUAAUAAUUAAUUAAUACGUAGGAUUAAGUUAUAAUCUAAAAGGGUACAGCCUUUUAGAUAAGAGAUACAACUCCCAUUAGAGAGUAAGUUUACUUAAAAUUACAAUAGUUGGCCUAAAAGCAGCCAUCAAGUAAGAUAGCGUUCAAGCUCAACAAUAAUAAAAAUUAAUUCUUAAUAUAAUAACCCAACUCCUAACGAGUACAUUGGACCACUCUAUUAGUUAAUAGAAGUAAUAAUGUUGAUAUGAGUAACAAGAAAUAAUUCUCCUUGCAUACGUGUAUAUCAGAACGGAUAAACCACUGAUAGUUAUCAAAAUUAGUAUAACCACAAACAAGUACAUAAUGAUAAUUGUUAGACCAACACAGGAGUGCUAAUUAAAGGAAAGAUUAAAAAAAGUAAAAGGAACUCGGCAAAUAUAAACCCCGCCUGUUUACCAAAAACAUCACCUCUAGCAUAAAAAGUAUUAGAGGCACUGCCUGCCCAGUGACUUCGGUUCAACGGCCGCGGUAUCCUGACCGUGCAAAGGUAGCAUAAUCACUUGUUCUUUAAUUAAGGACUAGUAUGAACGGCUUAACGAGGGUUUAACUGUCUCUUACUUUAGAUCAGUGAAAUUGACAGUCUCGUGAAGAGGCGAGAAUAUUAAAAUAAGACGAGAAGACCCUAUGGAGCUUUAAUUAAUUAACUCAUGACUGAAAAACAAACCCUUCAUAGAGACAACCACAUGUCAUUGAAUUAGUAAUUUAGGUUGGGGUGACCUCGGAAAAAAAAACAACUUCCGAGAUAUUUAGAUUAAGACCUACAAGUCAAAAUUAAUUAUUAAUACUAUUGACCCAUAUGUAAUGAUCAACGAAACAAGUUACCCUAGGGAUAACAGCGCAAUCCUAUUUAAGAGUCCAUAUCAAAAAUUAGGGUUUACGACCUCGAUGUUGGAUCAGGACAUCCCAAUGGUGCAGCAGCUAUUAAUGUGUUCGUUUGUUCAACGAUUAAAGUCCUACGUGAUCUGAGUUCAGACCGGAGUAAUCCAGGUCGGUUUCUAUCUAUUUAUAUGUCCCUCCCAGUACGAAAGGACAAGAGAGACAAGGCCUACUUAAAAUAAGAGCCUUAAUUAAACAAAUGAAAUUAUCUUAAUUCAAUUAUAGCCAUAAAUACCCAAGAUAAGGGUUA